Tarenaya hassleriana is the source of this 431-nucleotide long non-coding RNA. RefSeq lists it as uncharacterized. The record is from RefSeq and is a predicted model, not a curated record. Lineage: Eukaryota; Viridiplantae; Streptophyta; Magnoliopsida; Brassicales; Cleomaceae. The transcript has 2 exons.
AGCGUGAUUGAGGAGCCUAACAGUUGGAGGAAACAGCCCGAUUUGGCCGCGGUGGUGAUUAGGGCAAGUGUGGAACCCGAAAUCGAGUGAUAGGAUAUCAAGAGGAGCCAAAAUCACGGUCAUGUGCAUAAAGGAAACAAGAGUAACAGGGGAAGAAGAUUUGCAGACGGUGGAGCAAUUGAUGGAGGUUCGGUUAUGUGAGGGAUGUUGGACUAGGUUCAUCGUAUCAACACAUUUUAUAUGUGGGUACUCAGCAAGUUUGUUGUGGGUAGCUUAUAUUAGAUUUGCAGAUUGGGUAUUAGGGUUUAUGCUUUUGCUGAUUUGAAUGUGUAAGGAGAGGGGUGAGAGAGAAGCUCACAAUAAUCAACUUCUUGGGGUUGUAUUUGGUUUUCUGGAAAUCAAUACAACAUAUCGGUUCUUGUUCUUGUUCU